Pseudanabaena biceps PCC 7429 is the source of this 82-nucleotide non-coding RNA. NCBI's taxonomy places the organism in Bacteria, Bacillati, Cyanobacteriota, Cyanophyceae, Pseudanabaenales, Pseudanabaenaceae. The record is from Rfam.
GCGGAACUGGCGGAAUUGGUAGACGCGCAUGUUUCAGGUACAUGUGUUGAAAGACUUGGGGGUUCAAGUCCCCCGUUCCGCA